CUGAGGUUCAUACGGUGAUGAGUUUAAACAGUUUACACCCGAGUCUGGUUUCGAUCGAACCUCAAUUUUCUGGGGAUCUCGUUCCAGAUUAUGAAAGAGUAAACGUUUGUAGAGUCAUAGUUACGCUGAGUAUGAACUUC
Molecule: non-coding RNA, 140 nt
Organism: Apis mellifera (honey bee)
Lineage: Eukaryota; Metazoa; Arthropoda; Insecta; Hymenoptera; Apidae
Source: RefSeq, marked provisional